Molecule: ribosomal RNA, 481 nt
Filed under: uncultured bacterium
Lineage: Bacteria
Description: partial 16S ribosomal RNA
Rfam family: Bacterial small subunit ribosomal RNA
Source: RNAcentral
GAUGAACGCUGGCGGCGUGCUUAACACAUGCAAGUCGAACGAAGCACUUUAUUUGAUUUCCUUCGGGACUGAUUAUUUUGUGACUGAGUGGCGGACGGGUGAGUAACGCGUGGGUAACCUGCCUUGUACAGGGGGAUAACAGUUGGAAACGGCUGCUAAUACCGCAUAAGCGCACGGCAUCGCAUGAUGCAGUGUGAAAAACUCCGGUGGUAUAAGAUGGACUCGCGUUGGAUUAGCCAGUUGGUGAGGUAACGGCCCACCAAGGCGACGAUCCAUAGCCGACAGGGGAGGGUGACCGGCCGCAUUGGGAAUGAGGCACGGCCCAAGCUCCUACGGAAGGGAGCGGUGGGGAAUAUUGCGCAAUGAGGGAAAACCUGAUGCAGCGACGCCGCGUGAGCGAAGAAGUAGUUCGGUAUGUAAAGCUCUAUCAGCAGGGAAGAUAAUGACGGUACCUGGCAAAGAAGCACCGGCUAAAUACGUG